CCGCCCCAGUUUUCCUAACUGCUGCAAAACACCGGGCGCGGGAGGGGUGGUCUGCGCGAAGAAGGGAAAUGACCUUCAAGGUCAGAAGCAAACCUUGGUUUCGACCCUCAGCUGGAAACUGCAUUGGAGUCGCUGUCGCUAGUGCCUUACAAGGCUAAUUAUCAGUUGGGCUGCUUUUGGCUGCAAAUAACAGAAGACUUAAAAUGGCUUAAACAAUAAGGUUUUUUAUUGUUUCACAUAACAAGAAGCCUCCAAGUAUUACCGUGUCAUCAAAUAUCCAGGCUUUUGGUUGCUACAGCUGUAGGCAUCAUGUCUGCACGAAACCAUGUUCAAAUGGGGGAAGACACGGCUGACUUUCUCAAUCUCUGGAUCUCUGCGUGGCCAUGGUGUAAGGCGCUCUGAAGAGAAAUCCCAAGACUACACCAGAGGGAAGAGCGUCUCCUACCCCUGUAU
Molecule: long non-coding RNA, 453 nt
Organism: Lontra canadensis (Northern American river otter)
Lineage: Eukaryota; Metazoa; Chordata; Mammalia; Carnivora; Mustelidae
Exons: 3
Source: RefSeq, a predicted model, not a curated record